Molecule: long non-coding RNA, 1303 nt
Organism: Eriocheir sinensis (Chinese mitten crab)
Lineage: Eukaryota; Metazoa; Arthropoda; Malacostraca; Decapoda; Varunidae
Exons: 4
Source: RefSeq, a predicted model, not a curated record
GUAUAAAAUCGCGCCGUCUGGCCAUUGGACUUAGUAUCAACACUAGAGAGCGAGCAGAGAGACCACCCACAGGUCAACACAGCCUCGCCAGCAACACCCUGGCCACGCCUGUGCACCGAGCGAGCCUCGUCACACCGACGCCAAACCAUCACGCACUCACUGAAUCAAAAAGUAGAAAAGAUUGCAUCACACGUAACUCAGAUCUCUAAGAUGAAUAUCAAACUGGUACUCCUGGUGCUGGUGGUGAUGCUGGGCGCGGUGCUGGGCAGGCCCCAGUACUUCGGCAGAACGAGGCAGUUCCCCGGCCAGCGGCUGAGGGGCAGCACCAACUACGGCACCCACUCCUUUGGCAGGAAGGGCUUCAGAGAUAUUCCUAUGGCCAGACUUCACUAAGAACAAUGACUUUUCACAACACCGGAAAGUAUUAUUCUGAGCAGCCUGACGCUCCGGCCAGAUGGUUCUUUUCACCUUCUGUGAAAGUUCUUCCUGCUCGCAACUCUUCAGUACCCAGGAAACUGAAAUCAUCGCACCCUCCACAUGUCAUCAAGUAGCUGCUGAUUAGUGACUUUAUCUGAGCAGGGUGUCGGCAUACAACACUUGAGGAACUAUGUAUUUUCCGUUAUAUGGUUAAUAUACAUUCAUUCCCUUCCAUGUUCAGUGUCAUCAAGGUAUUUUGCCUCCUUGAGCUUCGCCGUCGCCUGGGUUAGGGUGGGGCGGCUUUCCUGGCAACGUGGGCACUCCUGUCUUUGGCAGUGUGGCGUGCAUUCAGUGACCCAACCUUGGGGAUACUCGUGUAAACAAGAGUUUUUGUAUUCAUCAAUUUAUACCUUUUUGAAGAAAACACGUGAAGACUUGGUCAUGAAGACACUGAACUUUCCUUCACUUUGUAUAUCUGUACGCUGGCAAUAUUUUCUUAAUUCAUUCCUAAAAAGUGUUCUCUAGCUAAGACUCAAGACCCUACAGGAAAAUGUCAUCAUGUCUCGUGUAGGCAACAUGUCUGAAGGUUGUUACGUCUGAGGGUUACUGCAUCAAUAGGCUCCUCGUAAGAAGAGUCUGUCUGAAUGAUGCACGCCUCUCUGCUCCGUGAAUUUGGUAUUCAGGAGUUUGUCCAUUGCACUGGUAAAGACGAUGUUUAUCGUUGUGUGGUGAGCCUUUUGCAUCAAGAAUAUAAGCAAACUGCAACGAGCAAGUAAUAACAGAAGGAAUGUUAUUUUUUUGUUGUUGUUGUAUGCUCACACUUGUUCUACAAAAAAAAAACUUUGUGCCUCAAUAAUAUCUGCAUAAUAAAUAAUUUUCCACGAUA